This 647-nucleotide ribosomal RNA is filed under the name uncultured beta proteobacterium. RNAcentral describes it as "bacterial SSU rRNA". It matches the Rfam family "Bacterial small subunit ribosomal RNA", at positions 9 to 650 of the family's 1533-position model. The record is from RNAcentral. Lineage: Bacteria; Pseudomonadati; Pseudomonadota; Betaproteobacteria.
GAGUUUGAUCCUGGCUCAGAUUGAACGCUGGCGGAAUGCUUUACACAUGCAAGUCGAACGGCAGCACGGGUGCUUGCACCUGGUGGCGAGUGGCGAACGGGUGAGUAAUACAUAGGAACAUACCCAGUAAUGGGGGAUAACGCCGAGAAAUCGGUGCUAAUACCGCAUACGCCCUACGGGGGAAAGCGGGGGAUCUUCGGACCUCGCGUUAUUGGAUUGGCCUAUGUCUGAUUAGCUAGUUGGUGAGGUAAAGGCUCACCAAGGCUUCGAUCAGUAGCUGGUCUGAGAGGAUGAUCAGCCACACUGGAACUGAGACACGGUCCAGACUCCUACGGGAGGCAGCAGUGGGGAAUUUUGGACAAUGGGCGAAAGCCUGAUCCAGCCAUUCCGCGUGAGUGAAGAAGGCCUUCGGGUUGUAAAGCUCUUUCGGCAGGAACGAAAUGGUCACGGUUAAUAACUGUGACUUCUGACGGUACCUGAAGAAGAAGCACCGGCUAACUACGUGCCAGCAGCCGCGGUAAUACGUAGGGUGCGAGCGUUAAUCGGAAUUACUGGGCGUAAAGCGUGCGCAGGCGGUUUUGUAAGUCAGAUGUGAAAGCCCCGGGCUUAACCUGGGAAUGGCGUUUGAAACACAAGGCUAGAGUGUG